Molecule: ribosomal RNA, 253 nt
Filed under: uncultured bacterium
Lineage: Bacteria
Description: partial 16S ribosomal RNA
Rfam family: Bacterial small subunit ribosomal RNA
Source: RNAcentral
UACGAAGGACCCAAGCGUUAUCCGGAUUUAUUGGGCUUAAAGGGUGCGUAGGCGGGUUAUUAAGUCAGUGGUGAAAGCUCCGAGCCCAACUCGGAAAUUGCCAUUGAUACUGAUGAUCUUGAGUACAUUUGAGGUGGGCGGAAUGUGUCAUGUAGCGGUGAAAUGCUUAGAGAUGACACAGAACACCGAUUGCGAAGGCAGCUCACUAAACUGUAACUGACGCUGAGGCACGAAAGCGUGGGGAGCAAACAGG